AGUAAAAGUCGUAACAAGGUCUCCGUUGGUGAACCAGCGGAGGGAUCAUUACAGAGUUAUCCAACUCCCAAACCCAUGUGAACUUAUCUCUUUGUUGCCUCGGCGCAAGCUACCCGGGACCUCGCGCCCCGGGGGGCCCGCCGGCGGACAAACCAAACUCUGUUAUCUUCGUUGAUUAUCUGAGUGUCUUAUUUAAUAAGUCAAAACUUUCAACAACGGAUCUCUUGGUUCUGGCAUCGAUGAAGAACGCAGCGAAAUGCGAUAAGUAAUGUGAAUUGCAGAAUUCAGUGAAUCAUCGAAUCUUUGAACGCACAUUGCGCCCAUUAGUAUUCUAGUGGGCAUGCCUGUUCGAGCGUCAUUUCAACCCCUAAGCACAGCUUAUUGUUGGGACUCUACGGCUUCGUAGUUCCCCAAAGACAUUGGCGGAGUGGCAGCAGUCCUCUGAGCGUAGUAAUUCUUUAUCUCGCUUUUGUUAGGCGCUGCCCCCCCGGCCGUAAAACCCCCAAUUUUUUCUGGUUGACCUCGGAUCAGGUAGGAAUACCCGCCGAACUUAAGCAUAUCAAUAAGCGGAGGAAAAGAAACCAACAGGGAUUGCCCCAGUAACG
RNAcentral lists this ribosomal RNA (605 nucleotides) under uncultured fungus. RNAcentral's name for it is "eukaryotic LSU rRNA". The stretch from base 205 to 358 matches the Rfam family "5.8S ribosomal RNA". Lineage: Eukaryota; Fungi. The record is from RNAcentral.